RNAcentral lists this ribosomal RNA (1158 nucleotides) under Salmonella enterica subsp. enterica serovar Nigeria. Its description in RNAcentral is "partial 23S ribosomal RNA". It matches the Rfam family "Bacterial large subunit ribosomal RNA", at positions 1 to 1191 of the family's 2925-position model. The record is from RNAcentral. Lineage: Bacteria; Pseudomonadati; Pseudomonadota; Gammaproteobacteria; Enterobacterales; Enterobacteriaceae.
GGGUUGUGAGGUUAAGCGACUAAGCGUACACGGUGGAUGCCCUGGCAGUCAGAGGCGAUGAAGGGCGUGCUAAUCUGCGAUAAGCGCCGGUAAGGUGAUAUGAACCGUUAUAACCGGCGAUACCCGAAUGGGGAAACCCAGUGUGAUUCGUCACACUAUCAUUAACUGAAUCCAUAGGUUAAUGAGGCGAACCGGGGGAACUGAAACAUCUAAGUACCCCGAGGAAAAGAAAUCAACCGAGAUUCCCCCAGUAGCGGCGAGCGAACGGGGAGGAGCCCAGAGCCUGAAUCAGCAUGUGUGUUAGUGGAAGCGUCUGGAAAGGCGCGCGAUACAGGGUGACAGCCCCGUACACAAAAGCGCAUGUGCUGUGAGCUCGAUGAGUAGGGCGGGACACGUGGUAUCCUGUCUGAAUAUGGGGGGACCAUCCUCCAAGGCUAAAUACUCCUGACUGACCGAUAGUGAACCAGUACCGUGAGGGAAAGGCGAAAAGAACCCCGGCGAGGGGAGUGAAAAAGAACCUGAAACCGUGUACGUACAAGCAGUGGGAGCACCCUUCGGGGUGUGACUGCGUACCUUUUGUAUAAUGGGUCAGCGACUUAUAUUCUGUAGCAAGGUUAACCGUAUAGGGGAGCCGCAGGGAAACCGAGUCUUAAUUGGGCGUUAAGUUGCAGGGUAUAGACCCGAAACCCGGUGAUCUAGCCAUGGGCAGGUUGAAGGUUGGGUAACACUAACUGGAGGACCGAACCGACUAAUGUUGAAAAAUUAGCGGAUGACCUGUGGCUGGGGGUGAAAGGCCAAUCAAACCGGGAGAUAGCUGGUUCUCCCCGAAAGCUAUUUAGGUAGCGCCUCGUGAAUUCAUCUCCGGGGGUAGAGCACUGUUUCGGCUAGGGGGCCAUCCCGGCUUACCAACCCGAUGCAAACUGCGAAUACCGGAGAAUGUUAUCACGGGAGACACACGGCGGGUGCUAACGUCCGUCGUGAAGAGGGAAACAACCCAGACCGCCAGCUAAGGUCCCAAAGUCAUGGUUAAGUGGGAAACGAUGUGGGAAGGCCCAGACAGCCAGGAUGUUGGCUUAGAAGCAGCCAUCAUUUAAAGAAAGCGUAAUAGCUCACUGGUCGAGUCGGCCUGCGCGGAAGAUGUAACGGGGCUAAACCAUG